UACAGAGGUGGCAAGCGUUGUUCGGAAUUACUGGGCGUAAAGGGCGCGUAGGCGGUCUUGUCAGUCCCUUGUGAAAUCCCCCGGCUCAACUGGGGAACUGCACGGGAAACAGCAGGGCUUGAGUUCGGGAGAGGGAAGCGGAAUUCCGGGUGUAGCGGUGAAAUGCGUAGAUAUCGGAAGGAACACCAGUGGCGAAAGCGGCUUCCUGGUCCAGCACCGACGUUCAGGCACGAAAGCGUGGGGAGCAAACAGG
This 253-nucleotide ribosomal RNA is filed under the name uncultured bacterium. RNAcentral's name for it is "partial 16S ribosomal RNA". It matches the Rfam family "Bacterial small subunit ribosomal RNA", at positions 524 to 776 of the family's 1533-position model. The record is from RNAcentral.